CCUACGGGGGGCUGCAGUGGGGAAUUUUGGACAAUGGGCGCAAGCCUGAUCCAGCCAUGCCGCGUGCGGGAAGAAGGCCUUCGGGUUGUAAACCGCUUUUGUCAGGGAAGAAAUCCUCUGGGUUAAUACCUCGGGGGGAUGACGGUACCUGAAGAAUAAGCACCGGCUAACUACGUGCCAGCAGCCGCGGUAAUACGUAGGGUGCAAGCGUUAAUCGGAAUUACUGGGCGUAAAUCGUGCGCAGGCGGUUAAUCCCCGUGCUUAACCUGGGAACUGCACUUGUGACUGCACGGCUUGAGUGCGGCAGAGGGGGAUGGAAUUCCGCGUGUAGCAGUGAAAUGCGUAGAUAUGCGGAGGAACACCGAUGGCGAAGGCAAUCCCCUGGGCCUGCACUGACGCUCAUGCACGAAAGCGUGGGGAGCAAACAGGAUUAGAUACCCUGGUAGUC
This 448-nucleotide ribosomal RNA is filed under the name uncultured bacterium. RNAcentral's name for it is "partial 16S ribosomal RNA". It matches the Rfam family "Bacterial small subunit ribosomal RNA", at positions 338 to 795 of the family's 1533-position model. The record is from RNAcentral.